GUACAGGGAGGUGAAGUGACUUUCCCACGGCUAAGCAGGGAGUCUGUGGCAGAGCAGAGAACCAAACCCAGCACCCCCGAGCCCCCAGGGCUGUGACUGAACCACUGGGCGACCUUCCUACCCAGAGCCUCAGCUGCGCUUUGAGUGUGUCGGUGGGCCAGGCCCUAGACCGAGCCAGCAGGAGGGGGCAUGGGGAAAGGCACAUGGGUGGGAAGCAAGAAGGGGAAACAUCAGGAAGGGGAGCAAAGACUUGGAGAAGAAAGAAGAGAGGGGCAGGGGGAGGGGAAAGACUCCCCAUGGCUUGUCCCUCGCAGCUGCCACCUUCCCACAGCCGUCACUGGCCCACAGCUGCCAGAGGCCCCAAGCAGGAUCUGCAUGUGUCCUUCUGGGGGCAGUUCUCCUCCUCUCUUUGCCUGUGAGCAAUGUGACCCCCCCUGGACAGACUGACGAGCCCAGGAUUCCUUCAGCCUGAAAGCAGAGGGGAGCCUUCACCCACUCCGUCUUUAGGGCUCCAGUCUCAGGACCUAAAUUCCCUGCCACAGCCCAAAAAUCCACACUGGGCCCCACUCCUCUCUCUGGCGAUUUUCCUUCUCCCACAGGCCUGUCUUGAGGACACAGCCCUGGGGCCAGGGGGCUGAUAUUUUGGACUGGACACUGUAGCAGGGAAAGGUGCUGCUGUGCUCCAGAAAAUAAGCCACCUCUGCACCAAAGAGGGAUGAAAGGACCUGCCAAAGCCCGGGAUUGAACCAGGGACCUUUAGAUCUUCAGUCUAACGCUCUCCCAACUGAGCUACUUCGGCAGCUGCAUAGCGCUCCUUUGGCCUGCUGCUGCUCUGUCCGGGAUGUUU
Long non-coding RNA from Chelonia mydas (Green sea turtle), 847 nucleotides. RefSeq lists it as uncharacterized. The record is from RefSeq and is a predicted model, not a curated record. The transcript has 3 exons. NCBI's taxonomy places the organism in Eukaryota, Metazoa, Chordata, Testudines, Cheloniidae.